This 74-nucleotide transfer RNA is filed under the name Vicugna pacos (alpaca). RNAcentral's name for it is "tRNA-Pro (AGG) (tRNA-Pro-AGG-31-1)". It matches the Rfam family "tRNA". Rfam says of the family: Transfer RNA (tRNA) molecules are approximately 80 nucleotides in length. Their secondary structure includes four short double-helical elements and three loops (D, anti-codon, and T loops). Lineage: Eukaryota; Metazoa; Chordata; Mammalia; Artiodactyla; Camelidae. The record is from RNAcentral.
GGAGGGUAUAGCUCAAGUGGUAGAGCACAUGCUUAGGAUGCAUGAGGUCCUGGGUUCAAUCCCCAGUAUCUCUA